GACGAACGCUGGCGGCGUGCUUAACACAUGCAAGUCGAACGGAAAGGCCCUGCUUUUGUGGGGUGCUCGAGUGGCGAACGGGUGAGUAACACGUGAGUAACCUGCCCUUUACUUUGGGAUAACUUCAGGAAACUGGGGCUAAUACCGGAUAGGAGCUCCUGCUGCAUGGUGGGGGUUGGAAGAUUCGGCGGUUUGGGAUUGGCUUGGGGGUUAUGAGCUUGGUUGUCGGGGAGGGGCUUACCAAGGCUUUGGCGGGGAGGCCGCCCGAGAGGGGGACCGGCCACAAUGGGACUGAGAUACGGAGCAGACUCCUACGGGAGGCAGCAGUGGGGAAUAUUGCACAAUGGGCGGAAGCGUGAUGCAGCAACGCCGCGUGCGGGAUGACGGCCUUCGGGUUGUAAACCGCUUUCGCCUGUGACGAAGCGUGAGUGACGGUAAUGGGUAAAGAAGCACCGGCUAACUACGUG
Molecule: ribosomal RNA, 467 nt
Filed under: uncultured bacterium
Lineage: Bacteria
Description: partial 16S ribosomal RNA
Rfam family: Bacterial small subunit ribosomal RNA
Source: RNAcentral